AGAGUUUGAUCCUGGCUCAGGACGAACGCUGGCGGCGUGCCUAACACAUGCAAGUCGAACGAGGUCCAGUCAGUGGCAACACUGAGGACGACCUAGUGGCGAACGGGUGAGUAACACGUGAGGAACUUGCCCCGGAGACCGGGAUAACCCUCCGAAAGGAGAGCUAAUACCGGAUGUCUUCACCGAGCCGCAUGGUUUGGUGAAGAAAUGGAUUCCGCUCCGGGAGAGUCUCGCGGCCUAUCAGCUAGUUGGUGGGGUAACGGCCCACCAAGGCAUCGACGGGUAGCUGGUCUGAGAGGACGAUCAGCCACACUGGGACUGAGACACGGCCCAGACUCCUACGGGAGGCAGCAGUGGGGAAUCUUGCGCAAUGGGCGAAAGCCUGACGCAGCAACGCCGCGUGCGGGAUGACGGCCCUCGGGUUGUAAACCGCUUUCAGUGGGGACGAACCAAGACGGUACCCACAGAAGAAGGUCCGGCCAACUACGUGCCAGCAGCCGCGGUAACACGUAGGGACCAAGCGUUGUCCGGAUUCAUUGGGCGUAAAGAGCUCGUAGGCGGUUCGAUAAGUCGGGUGUGAAACCUCCAGGCUCAACCUGGAGACGCCACCCGAUACUGUCGUGACUAGAGUCCAGUAGGGGAGCGUGGAAUUCCUGGUGUAGCGGUGAAAUGCGCAGAUAUCAGGAGGAACACCAGCGGC
Molecule: ribosomal RNA, 700 nt
Filed under: uncultured bacterium
Lineage: Bacteria
Description: bacterial SSU rRNA
Rfam family: Bacterial small subunit ribosomal RNA
Source: RNAcentral